GAUGAACGCUAGCGAUGGGCUUAACACAUGCAAGUCGAGGGGCAGCAUGGUCUUAGCUUGCUAAGACUGAUGGCGACCGGCGCACGGGUGCGUAACGCGUAUGCAACUUGCCUCACAGAGGGGGAUAACCCGUCGAAAGACGGACUAAUACCGCGUACGCUCCAGCUUGGGCAUCCAAGCUAGAGGAAAUGAAAUUCGCUGUGAGAUAGGCAUGCGUCCCAUUAGCUAGUUGGUGAGGUAACGGCUCACCAAGGCAACGAUGGGUAGGGGAACUGAGAGGUUGAACCCCCACACUGGUACUGAGACACGGACCAGACUCCUACGGGAGGCAGCAGUGAGGAAUAUUGGUCAAUGGGCGAGAGCCUGAACCAGCCAAGUCGCGUGAAGGAUGACUGUCUUAUGGAUUGUAAACUUCUUUUGUAGGGGAAUAAAGAACGGUACGUGUACCGU
Molecule: ribosomal RNA, 450 nt
Filed under: Porphyromonas catoniae
Lineage: Bacteria; Pseudomonadati; Bacteroidota; Bacteroidia; Bacteroidales; Porphyromonadaceae
Description: bacterial SSU rRNA
Rfam family: Bacterial small subunit ribosomal RNA
Source: RNAcentral